UACGUAGGGGUCGAGCGUUGUCCGGAUUUAUUGGGUUUAAAGGGUCCGUAGGCGGGUUAUUAAGUCAGUGGUGAAAGUUUUCGGCUUAACCGAAAAAUUGCCAUUGAUACUGGUAGUCUUGAAUUAUUGUGAAGUAACUAGAAUAUGUAGUGUAGCGGUGAAAUGCUUAGAUAUUACAUGGAAUACCAAUUGCGAAGGCAGGUUACUAACAAUAUAUUGACGCUGAUGGACGAAAGCGUGGGUAGCGAACAGG
Molecule: ribosomal RNA, 253 nt
Filed under: uncultured bacterium
Lineage: Bacteria
Description: partial 16S ribosomal RNA
Rfam family: Bacterial small subunit ribosomal RNA
Source: RNAcentral